This 2283-nucleotide long non-coding RNA is filed under the name Numida meleagris (helmeted guineafowl). RNAcentral's name for it is "lncRNA (ENSNMEG00000001380.1)". The record is from RNAcentral. Lineage: Eukaryota; Metazoa; Chordata; Aves; Galliformes; Numididae.
GUAAAGGGCAGCCAAUGCUCACAUAAAAGAGCAGUGAAAGUAAGAUCUUUUUUUUAAAAUCAGUUAAAAUGGUAAAUAGGGAACAAAGCAGGGAGAGAGAAAUAAAAGUGGCCAUCUAAAACAUAGACUGCUAUUUUGAAAAAUCCUUAAUUACCUUAUAAAUGCAUCCAUAUAACAUACUGAGCUUAAAUAUCUUUCUACCCAUUGCUCACAAAGACGUUCGGAAGGUUAAGCACUGUUACCCCUGUUUUACAGAUAGAAAAGCUGAGGUGCGGAGCAUAAGAGUGUCUUGCUCAAGAUUGUGCAUGCUUGUGUCAGAGCAGAGAGGACUUCAGUGUUUUCACUGUGGGAAGACGCUCUGUGAAGCAUCCUGUAUAUCCAGUCUGGUGCACAUCCUCAUCCCAGCCCUGCUCCACUUUCAUCUCCAGCUCCAUUGUGUGCUCCACAAGGUCUCCUACCCAAAACGCCAAGGGGACCAGAACCAGAGCCCCACAAGUUGCUCACCUGCCUUACAGUGUGGACACGACCCAAAUCUUCAGACUCGGUUACGCUGCACAUGACAGAUUUGGUGCAAAAAAAUGCCUGAAGUGCUGCCUGCUGUAGGGAGGAGGACAAGAGACGAUUAGCCCUCAUCAGACUGUGAGCAGACAGAGGAAAAACCUUGCCUUCAGGACCCCUGGAGAAAGAGACGUUGUAAAAUUAAUUUACAUAUCAAGAUCCUCACUUAAAACACAAAAAGACUCCCGUCUGACUCAAAAGAUGUUAUAAGAGGAUUCGAUUGUAUCAUUGUGAAUUUGAUAUCCUUAAAGAACCUUGCCGGUAUUGUUAAGACUCUCCACAUCCUUGAAUGUUAAUUAAGAAAGAUAACACAGAGAGCAUGAUGGAAGUGCUUAGGUUAUAGCAGGACUUUGGCUUGAAAUGAUCCAUGACAGCUGCAGAAGACUCUGCCAAAUCUUGCCCUGGGCACAAAAUUUUUUGUAAUGUUUGUUUUCGAGUCAAGGGGCUGCAAAAAGAUGGCAUUGUAUUAUUUCUGGGUGCAUGGGGAAUGGCCCACCUACAAAACAGCAUUGCCUCCGAGCCACCCAAGCAGCUGCUGAACUCCCCACAUAAUGACAGAGCACAGGGUGGGAAGGGGAUCUGGUCACAUAAGAAACUGCAGGAGGGGUUUUGAAAUAGAGAAUACUGGAGCUGGAAUCCGGCCAGGUCACUGGGGUUAACCCCCUUGCUGCUGCGAAAUGCCGUGGGAUUUUUAAUGGCUGCGAGUGUUGAGGAGCUUGUCUUUCACAUCUCGUCUGAUGGCAGGAGAGCGGGGAAUUAGUUUACUCUUUUUAACACUGGGCUUCUGUACUGCAAGUGUCACAAAGGAUAUUUCUUUGCAGGCAGAUGUCGGCUGCCAGUGGGAAGCUGAGAAAUGCCAGUUUUAAUUAAAAGCUUUAUUUUCAAAUACAAUUCCGAGAUUAUAAGCAGUAAGAAGGACUUGUCCGCUGGGAGGCUUCAGUGUGCGGCCCUGAGCAAAACAGCAGUAAUUGAAAGACAAGACCUAAUUCCCCUUCUCCCAGCUGGGUCUAACCACGAGGCAGGGACAUCAAUCCAGCCCUUCAAGGAGGGCUGGGAGACCUCGGGUUUGCCAUUGCCUCUGUUGUUGGAGGGAAAGAAGCCAAAGCAAGGCUUUUAGAUCUUCCUAUCCCUUUUCUCUAAAGUUGGCUUAAGAAGAGAAAACAAAACAGAGGGGCAAAGCUGUGGGAGAGGGCUGAAAGGCACCUGUGUGAUAUGUCUUCAUCACAUGCUCAAAUUCUCGUUACAAACUUGUGUUUUCCAAUCAUUACCCCAAUUUCUAGCACUUGCACCCAUGCUAAUCUACUCCAGUAUGGUUCUGGACCACAGGAAAGAUUUCACAGAUUCAGCUGGCUAUGGUAACUUCACACAUUUCCCAUCUCAUACAAAGGCAUAGCUGAAAAUGGGACAACGCGAGACCCGAAUGCUCUAUGCUAACUUUACUUAGCUGACAAUAGCUCCAACUAUUAAAAGCUCCAGGGGUUUUAUUGGCCACUUUUAAAUAAUUCACUAAUUUUAAACGAAAAACACCAACAACCCAACAGCUCCUACCAACAAUUCCAUCUGUUCUACAAAAUCACCCUCACCAUAUCUGCCCUUUGUCUUUACAAAUUUUUUAUGGUGCCUGCACUUCUAAUCUCUUGAUGGGUCUGUUUCAUUACUCAUCAUACUUAAUGAAAGUAAAAACCAUGACUAGAGAAUAAAUUUUCUCCCUUAGAAUUUAAUGCA